This is a non-coding RNA of Colletotrichum zoysiae, 116 nucleotides long. NCBI's taxonomy places the organism in Eukaryota, Fungi, Ascomycota, Sordariomycetes, Glomerellales, Glomerellaceae. The record is from the annotation of a GenBank genome assembly.
GGCCGGUUGGCCCAAUGGCAAGGCGUCUGACUACGACCACUCCUCCACAUUCGAACUGAAUCUGGAGGCUCUAGUCUGCUAUCAGGAGAUUCUGGGUUCGACCCCCAGGCUGGUCA